RNAcentral lists this non-coding RNA (109 nucleotides) under Branchiibius sp. NY16-3462-2. RNAcentral describes it as "SAM (S-adenosyl methionine) riboswitch aptamer". It matches the Rfam family "SAM (S-adenosyl methionine) riboswitch aptamer". From Rfam's summary of the family: SAM-IV is a mRNA element that regulates gene expression via direct sensing of S-adenosylmethionine (SAM or AdoMet). SAM-IV riboswitches share conserved nucleotide positions with the previously described SAM-I riboswitches sequence analysis and molecular recognition experiments suggest that SAM-I and SAM-IV riboswitches share similar ligand binding sites, but have different scaffolds. The record is from Rfam by way of RNAcentral. Lineage: Bacteria; Bacillati; Actinomycetota; Actinomycetes; Micrococcales; Dermacoccaceae. RNAcentral also lists the same sequence under 1 other name.
GGUCAAGAGUUCCAGCGACAAGCCCCGGCUAGCUGGACGGCAACCCUCCUCGCGGUGGGGUGCCCCGGGUGAGGACAAGGCCGGAUCAGGUGUCCGGCAACCGCGGGGC